RNAcentral lists this ribosomal RNA (253 nucleotides) under uncultured bacterium. Its description in RNAcentral is "partial 16S ribosomal RNA". It matches the Rfam family "Bacterial small subunit ribosomal RNA", at positions 524 to 776 of the family's 1533-position model. The record is from RNAcentral.
UACGAAGGGGGCUAGCGUUGCUCGGAAUCACUGGGCGUAAAGGGUGCGUAGGCGGGUCUUUAAGUCAGGGGUGAAAUCCUGGAGCUCAACUCCAGAACUGCCUUUGAUACUGAAGAUCUUGAGUUCGGGAGAGGUGAGUGGAACUGCGAGUGUAGAGGUGAAAUUCGUAGAUAUUCGCAAGAACACCAGUGGCGAAGGCGGCUCACUGUCUCAUUACUGACGCUCAGGCGCGACAGCGUGGGGAUCAAACAGG